UAUUUGGAUUUGAACAUCUUUGUACGUCAAAUUUAGUUGAGUGAGUUGUUGGUUGAAUAGUAUAAUUUAACGGGUGAAAACAGUCAAACAGUUAAAUCUAACGACGAAAAACUAGAUAGUAUCAAGUGCUUGGUGCUAUAUAUAUAUAUAUAUAUAUAUAUAGUCCUGCUACUAUCCUAUUAAUAGGAUUGGGACCAUUGUCCUAUCAAAUGGUUUUGAAUGAUCGACACUCCAAAUUGAUAAUCGGCACCGUUGAAAUUGAUCUACACUAUAAGAAAUAUUUAAAAACCGAAUUUUAUAAUUUUUAAAAAUCAUUACCAAAUCUAUCGAAGAGUCGAAAAAAUGAACGGUCAUAAAUGAAUAACCUUCUUAAAAUAGAGGUUAGACUUUUUCAAAUCAUGAUCAGAGUUAUCAAAUAUUAUUUAAAUAGUAUAAAAAAAAUUUUAUCAAAAAUUCAAGCAAUUUAGAUUACUCUACACCGUUAAAUAAGCAAACGGCUCAUAUAGGCCGUCAAAAAUUAUCGAUUUUACGACACUUUGAUUACCAUGUAAAUAAUUUUUAAAAUUUAUGAAAUUUUGUUUCUACAUAUUUCAAAUAUUCUAGAUCAACUUCAACGGCUCCGAUCAUCGAUUCGGAAUCUCUAUGCUUUCGAAAGUAUGGAGGUCUCCGUGCUUGUAAGUUGUUUUCGAUGAUGGGACAUCCGAUUUGGCGAUCGGUUUCGUUAGACAUGAUUUACGCUAUUAGAACUAGCUAGAAACCAAAUUUCAUAAACUUUUGAUUUCGCUUAUCUAGAAAAUGAGAAGCCUCAAAAUGAAUGGCUGAAAAUAAAAAUCUCAUAAAAAACAGUGAUAAAGGACAUAAAUUUCAAAUCGGAAGUAUUGGACUUGCUAUUGAUGUUAAGUAGAAUUUUUUAUUAGAUUUUCAUCUAAUUUGGAUACUUCUACACCGUUGAACUUAAAAACAUGCCACAUCGGCCGUUAAAAUAGUCAUUUUUGAGACUUUUUGAUCGCUUGGUAAAUAAUGUCAAAAAAUUAUAAAAUUUGGUUUCUAAAUAAUUCCAAUAGAGUAGAUUAUAUUUAACGUAGCGAUCGUUGAAUUGGAUUUCCUAUCAUCGAAAACAACUUACAAGCAUGGAGGUCUCCGUACUUUUGAAAGUACA
RNAcentral lists this long non-coding RNA (1159 nucleotides) under Ananas comosus (pineapple). RNAcentral's name for it is "long non-coding RNA (ACOM_LNC004815)". The record is from RNAcentral. Lineage: Eukaryota; Viridiplantae; Streptophyta; Magnoliopsida; Poales; Bromeliaceae.